CGUUUCACCAAAAGACGUCUGGAUUCUCCAGAAAUUGAAGUUGUAGAUCCAAUUUUUGGAAAAAAUUCUGGAAAGUUUUUAUUUUCUGAUUUCUGUUGGUUUUCUGGUCGGAUUUUGGCCGAAAAUUCCACCCCAACCUCGCUCUGAUACCAAAUGUUGAAUAAUCGACCUCCAAUAGUGGAUUUUCCGGGCUCAGUAUAACCAAUCUCUAUCUUAUUAAACACACCCAACAAAAGCUCCAACCCAAACAACGAUUCUUACUUCGGUUGCUCAACUCAAUGUGUUCACAAAGAACACAAUAUGGUGGCUGCAAUGAAUCACAAAGAAUAGAGGAAGACAGAUUCAGUUUUUGGCUCAAGAGAGAAAACUAGAGAAAAAUGUAGGCUGCCUCUUUUCAAUUGCACACACACACGGCUCCUUCACAAAUGAAAGCAAUAUAUAGGUUUAGGGUGUAAUAAUAUAAUGGGCUCAUGGACCAACUAAUGGUUAAAGGGGGCGGAACACAAAUUGAGCCAUCC
This 518-nucleotide long non-coding RNA is filed under the name Olea europaea (common olive). Its description in RNAcentral is "long non-coding RNA (OEUR_LNC007836)". The record is from RNAcentral. Lineage: Eukaryota; Viridiplantae; Streptophyta; Magnoliopsida; Lamiales; Oleaceae.